CAGUCGCCGCGGUAAAACGAAGGGGGCUAGCGUUGUUCGGAAUUACUGGGCGUAAAGCGCACGUAGGCGGAUAUUUAAGUCAGGGGUGAAAUCCCGCAGCUCAACUGCGGAACUGCCUUUGAUACUGGGUAUCUUGAGUAUGGAAGAGGUUAGUGGAAUUGCGAGUGUAGAGGUGAAAUUCGUAGAUAUUCGCAGGAACACCAGUGGCGAAGGCGGCUAACUGGUCCAUAACUGACGCUGAGGUGCGAAAGCGUGGGGAGCAAACAGGAUUAGAUACCCCGGUAGUCCCUGUCUCUUAUAC
Molecule: ribosomal RNA, 301 nt
Filed under: uncultured bacterium
Lineage: Bacteria
Description: partial 16S ribosomal RNA
Rfam family: Bacterial small subunit ribosomal RNA
Source: RNAcentral